CUUAUCUUAAUUUCAGCAAUAGUUGCUUCUGUGAAAAUGAUUGUGAGGAUGAACAUCAAGGCUUUAUGACCCUUGUCGUACAUAAUUUUCAAAAGUUGAGUUGCGUAACUGAGCUUACACUCGGAUCUUGGUUCAACUCUUUCUGAUCUUGGUUCGCACAAAUUUCACAAACAUAAUUGGAUUGAUUAGAGAAACUUGUAGCCUUUCUACCUUUUCACAAUCCUUUAAUCUAAAAACCAGAUUUUUUACAGCGUUGUUGCUUAAAAUGUUUAGUAUCUCCGUGUUCUGUGCCUGUAGUUUCUUCUAGUCUCUUGUUCGUGGUGUUUUGGUGAUGUCUAUAAUUUCGAAUAGUGUCUUGUUUCCUUUAUUAUCUAGCGGUGUGGUAUGUUCCUUUUUGUUGUUUGCUUUUAUGUCUUUUAUUUGUUAUACUGCUAUGUGUCCUGUGCCAGGGGUCUAUCGAAAACAGGCUCUCUAUUGCAUAUGUGGUAGUGGUAUGGACUGCGUACACUUCAUCCUCGCGGACCCCAUUUUGUGGGAAUACACCGGGUAUGUUGUUGUUGUUAUCUCUGCGUAGUACUUUUUUUUUUGUUGUUGUCAUGCUUUCUCCAAUAGUUUACUAGUUUUUAGUCAAUGGCUAGGGGAGUGCGUGGCGACGUUGGUGGUUUGGCAACCUUUUAACUCACAAUGUCCUGAUCUAGUGUAUGUCACAGACACCUCUCUAGUCUCCAACCAACUCACAAAAUCUCUUAAAACAGACUAUAAGGUUUCGUUUUUUUUUUUUUUAGGGAAAUGAUAUCCAUUAAUGAGAUAGAUCUAUUAUCGAUCAAAUCGAUAUAUAGAUAGAUCAAUUAUCGAUUUGACAAAUCGAUUAUCAAUCCGACAAAUCGAUUAUCAAUCUGACCUAUAUAUGAACGGAUUGAUUAUUAAUCCGAAAGAUCGAUUAUCGAUCCAAUUUAUAUAUGGACAAAUCAUUAUCAAUCCGACAGAUCGAUUAUCGAUCCAACCUAUAUAUGAACAAAUUGAUUAUCGAUUCGAUCUAUAUAUGAAAAAAUAGGAGUAGAUUAUUUUAUUAAUUGAAAAAUUGAAGAGGAUUAAUAGUAAAAUUUUGGACAUGUAAUAACAGAAACACUAGAAAAUCCCAAAAUUCAUUACCCCGAUUUCCAACAUAGAGACCCAAAAACCUUUGUGGAAAAUUUCUGAAAGCUCAAAUGCGGCUGCGACGGCGCCGCCGUAAGCACUCUCCUAAGGUGAUUCCUCCACCGUCCGUCGGCGCCGAAGUUCAGCGCCGCCGUAGAGUUCGGAAAACCCUAGACGAUGAUCGGAUCAGUCAGUUACCGGAUUCACUGCUCAUACAAAUUCUCUCUCUUUUGCCAACAGUUGAAGCAUCCCGAACUUCAAUUCUCUCUAAAAGGUGGAAGUAUCUUUGGACUUUUGCUUACAAUUUCGAUUUUGAAUUCCGCUCAGGUAGAGUAAAAGAUUUCGAAUCUUUUAUUGAUUAUGUAUUAGCUCAUUCCGUUGCUUCCAAAAUCGAAAAGCUUAGACUCUCUGGUGAAUUUCGUUACGGCGAGUCUAAUAUCAAUGGAUGGCUUAGUUUUGCGGUUGAAAGAAAUGUUGAACAUGUUGUAUUGCGGUCAUACGAUGAGCGGAUACUAUUCGGUGAGCCUUUUUGCACUUGUUCUUCUUUGAAAACUUUGGAUAUUACUUAUGCUGAAUUUCCUUAUCGAAAGACAACAUCAUGGACGAAUCUAAAAAGCAUAAAGAUGGAUGAAAUAUCGUUAGAUAAUGAGGCCAUUGCGAGUUUACUAGCAGGCUGUCCUGAAUUGGAAACAAUGGAACUUUCCGGACUGCAUUGUUUUAGUCGCUUGGAAAUUAAUUCGUUAAAGUUAAAGAGAGUGUAUUUGAAAGACCUUUGUUUGGAUAAAGAUCUAGCUGAAUCGGAAUUCUUCGUGGAAAUUUUUGCUCCUUAUCUUAAGCAUUUUCGGAUAUCAGGAAAUCUUGAAGAUUUCGAGUUAAGGCUUUUAGAUGUGUCGUCUUUGGUCGAAGCUAGUCUUACAUUCAGACAUAGGUGUGCUAAUUGGACCUGUUGUGAUUCUGGUGAUGAUGAGGAAGAGAGUCGUUGGAAUUAUCACCAAAUAUUUAUUAUUACGCUCGUUCAAGAGAAUCUUCAAAAGUUGAGUUGCGUAACUGAGCUGAACUCGGAGCUUGGUUUACUAAGGUUUGUAUUUAACUCUCUCUAAUUGAUUUUUGAGAUGAAGGGGGAGCCGUGGAGUAACUGGUAUAGUUGCUGUCAUGUGACCACGAGGUCACUGGUUCAAGCCUUGGAAAUAGCCUCUUGCAGAAAUGCAAGGUAAGGCUGCGUACAAUACACCCUUGUGGUGGGGCCCUUCCCUGGACACUGCGCAUAGCGAUAGCUUUAGUGCGCCGCACUGCCCCUUCAGAAACAAUCUCUCUAAUUCACAUCUGAGGCAGGGGCGGAUCUAGGGCCUCGGAGGGGGUUCCGGAACCCAGUAACUUUCGUACGGAUCUAGUAUUUAUAUAAAGAAAUCUGGUAAAUAUAUAAAAAUUAUAAGUUAGGAACCCAUAAACAAAUUGUAUUGUUGGUCUAGUGGAGCACAGGAACUAGUAAAAGUUUUACCACAACCUCUUGGUUGUGGGUUCAAAUCCCUUUAGCUACUAUUUAGUUUUAUUUUUGUCUAACAUGGAACCCACAAACUUUAUAUCCUGGAUCCGCCUAUGAUCUGAGGUAGUGGUAUGGACUGCGUACACUUACCCUCCCAUUUGUGGGAAUAUUGGGUAUGUUGUUGCUGUAUAUUUUAUAAGUCAUCAAUCUUAGCUUCUAAUAUUUUGCCAACUCUUACCCCUUAAUAUAUUCAACUUUAAUUUAUCGGAGCAUCACAUCAGGGUAUACCGAUUUUAGUUGAUGAACCAACAAAGUUUGCUUAGCUGCUAUAAUUUCAUGUUGCAGGCCCUGUGCAUGAUGCAGCUCAAAGGGGUGUCUAUUCCAGAACUUAAAUGCAAAUGUCUAACGUUAGAGUUGGAUGACUAUUUUAAUUUGUUUGGAGCAACUGGUAUUUUGCG
Molecule: long non-coding RNA, 3078 nt
Filed under: Capsicum annuum
Lineage: Eukaryota; Viridiplantae; Streptophyta; Magnoliopsida; Solanales; Solanaceae
Description: long non-coding RNA (CANN_LNC018292)
Source: RNAcentral